CAAACAAUCACCAAGCCCAGUUCUAAUCAUGCAGUUCUCGGGCCACCUCACUGCCUAAUGGGAAGAAAUGCUGAUCUGAGCUCUGAUUAUGAUGUGAAUCUUCACCUCGCCAUCAGAGGUGUGCUUGCAGCACCAUGGCUGUAUUAAUGAGAGUGGGAAACUGUUCUCCGGUCAUGCAGUGUGCUGCAGGGAAGACACUUCCCUAGGCAAAGGAGAGUCUGCAGCAGACCCAGGAAUUUAACCUGUUCCCUUGAGCCAGUCUUGUUAGGAGUAGUUCAUCCUUUUUCAUCCUGUUGAGGGACAAUGCAAAGACAGCAGCUGGGAUUCAUCACACCUCACUUAGACAACUUAAGCGCCUGAAGUUGGGGAUAUAGUAGUUAUAGGCAUCUUUUACAGUCAAUGGCAAACUCUGUCUGUCUGACACCACCAGAGAUGCCUCACUUCUUUUUGUUGACUAAAAGGAAGCUUAUCUUUUGUCAGGUGACUGAAGCUGGAGUGGGUGAAAAUGCAUCUACUAUGGCUGUAAAAGGUCGUACUAUUAGUAUAUCCUUUCUAAAUUUCAAGGAACGUUUCAAGUUAGUGGCUCUGCUCUGUACUGCCUAUAUCCGAACACAUUCAUCAAGCAAGGGGGCCAGAUGAGGGGUCCAGAUUAGAAAGUGUGUGAAAAUGACUGCUCUCAUGAAUUACAGAAAGUGAACCUCUGGACUUCUGUGAUAGGUUUUUAAAACAGGGGUGACACAGUCUUAUAAAGUUUCCUGUAGUCACAAAAAAGUGCUUUCCUUUCUUGAAUGCAGACAGAUUUUGAAGCAGAAGCUGCAGUAUUACCAAGUGAUUUACAUAUAAAUUAAUGCAUAUUAGACAAUAUGAAUCAUUCACUCCUUCAGGGGAGUGAUCACCAUCCAGUUGGUCUGAUCACCUAAGCCAAGUGAAUAUAUAAUGUUAAUUGUUGUACGCGCUCCCUACAUAUCCAUCAUAAUCAGCAGUUUCAAGCCAUUAUGUAGACGCUCCUGUUAAUGGGGCUUGUGUUUUAACUCUACUGGAAAUCGGCCUCAGUAAGAAAGCCCAGUGCUGCACCUCGUUUCCAGUUAUUUUGUGAGACUGAGUAAUGCUGGAGCCGGUGGUGAUGCCUCAGACAGGGCAGACACGGUCUGACACGCAGGAGCGCCAGGGAACUCUGGACUUGCGGACCUUCCUUAUGGACACCGGGUCAAGGUAGUGACACUGGGUACACUUCUCACACCAUGCAAGGAAUUGUCACCACUUCCAGCCUCUUCUUUAGCAACGACUACCUCUAAUUUCUACUAAAGAAACUGCUUAAUUAGUGCCUCGGCACCAGGAGUUUAAUUCCGCUGCUGCGUCUCUUUCUCUGAAGUGGACGUGCUUAGGUUAAAGAGUGAAGGUGUUUAGAGAAAACAGAAAUUGCCUGGUACUGGGGCUGUGAGCCUGACAAUUCCCAUAUUCCCC
Molecule: long non-coding RNA, 1464 nt
Filed under: Anser brachyrhynchus (Pink-footed goose)
Lineage: Eukaryota; Metazoa; Chordata; Aves; Anseriformes; Anatidae
Description: lncRNA (ENSABRG00000017741.1)
Source: RNAcentral